GAGAGAGAGGAAGAAACGGCCAUUACUGUGAUAGUGUGAGCCGGGGUAAGCUUGGUGCUACCUCUUUUCUUUUGUUGUUAUGUUCUUUGAAAUAAGAGUAUUGAGAGUUUCUAAAUAUUGUAAAGUGAAUCAUAGAAUGAAAGUGUGAUUGAAAUUAUAUGUUAUUGAAUGAGAAGAAGAGAGAUUGAAUGUUGAAAUGUGAAUGUAGUUCAGGAGAAAGAGUGAAUCUGUGGUUGUGUGAAACACUGUAAUGUGAAUGGUAGUUCUGUGUGAAGAAUU
This 279-nucleotide long non-coding RNA is filed under the name Physcomitrium patens. RNAcentral's name for it is "long non-coding RNA (PPAT_LNC011702)". The record is from RNAcentral. Lineage: Eukaryota; Viridiplantae; Streptophyta; Bryopsida; Funariales; Funariaceae.